UACGGAGGGUGCAAGCGUUAUCCGGAAUCACUGGGUUUAAAGGGUGCGUAGGCGGUUAAAUAAGUCAGUCGUGAAAUCGCUGGGCUUAACCCAUGCAACUGCGAUUGAUACUGUUUAACUUGAAUGAGGUUGAGGUAGGCGGAAUGUGGCAUGUAGCGGUGAAAUGCAUAGAUAUGCCAUAGAACACCGAUUGCGAAGGCAGCUUGCUGGGCCUUCAUUGACGCUGAGGCACGAAAGCGUGGGGAGGCAAACA
This 253-nucleotide ribosomal RNA is filed under the name uncultured prokaryote. RNAcentral's name for it is "partial 16S ribosomal RNA". It matches the Rfam family "Bacterial small subunit ribosomal RNA", at positions 524 to 774 of the family's 1533-position model. The record is from RNAcentral.